Aquila chrysaetos chrysaetos is the source of this 1124-nucleotide long non-coding RNA. RefSeq lists it as uncharacterized. Lineage: Eukaryota; Metazoa; Chordata; Aves; Accipitriformes; Accipitridae. The transcript is spliced from 3 exons. The record is from RefSeq and is a predicted model, not a curated record.
CCUAACGCCGCGCCGACGCGCCGCCCUUCCUCGCGGGGUUUUCCCAAGAGGAAUAGCGGAGGCGAGGCGCCGCUCCGCCCUGGCUCGGCUUUGGAAGCGGCACAGAGGGAUUAACCUGGAAGGAAGGGCCACCUCGCGAGAGAAACUGAUAUCCGUCCGCCGGCGGGUGACCCCGCCCUCCAGAAGAUGGCAUGGAUUUUGAGGUUCAAGGAAACAGUUGCUUCCUGCACUGGAGAGCAGCUAUCUCACCUUGUUGACCCUUUACAGCAUCAAGCUGUCUCAGAUACAGGAGAGUUUCUGGCAUGACUCAUCCUGGUAUCGCAGCUCCCAAGAAGAUACAUCGGGGGAGCAGAAUUGGAAGGGUUUACGGAGCACAGCAGGCCUCUGCGAUACGGCUGGUAUUACCCACACUUCACUACAAAUAGUUUUACAGGAAGGACCAUCUGGUCAUCAGCUGCCCAAAUGCACAUUUGCUUGCCCUCCUCCACCUGUUCAGUGUGUAAUUCAGCCUCUCCCUGCCAGGUGCUCUCCCAUCAGAGGUCCUCCUGAGCGAGGGGACGAGAGGACGCAGCACAUCCCCCGGAACAGCGGCAGGCACAGAUGCCUCUCCGAGAUCUCUGUUCUUAAGGAGGAAUAAAUCCCAGCUUAUCUUCAAAAUGGAGGCGAUGUAUAGGACCAGAAGGUAACUGCCUAGCUCAGAGAUCAACCUCGUGUUAUUCCAAGCAACUGCAUCGCUGCUCAAAUGGAAAGGUCGGGUCCAGCAUCUGAGCCGACAUCAUGCAUAGCAGGCAUGCGCAUCACUGAUGAUGUCACUAUGUUCUGGGAAGCCCAUUUACCCGAAGCUCUGUGCCAUUUAAGAGAUGUUUCUACCCACAGCCAUUCACAGGUGAGCCAACAGUGUACCUGCCAGUCAGAUCUGUACUACCUUAGCACUGGGUUUCUCUGUGCAAACUAAGCCAUCAACCUCUAAAAACCACCCAAGUGACUUGUUUCAGGACUGCCCUGACAUACCUGUGUGUCCAUACUGGACCACAGCCACACACUCUGAAAAAAUGUUUUAAUAACAUAACUGUAACAGCUAAGCCACCUUCAACAAUGCCCAAUUAAAGGAGGCCUUAAAAUGA